Molecule: ribosomal RNA, 621 nt
Filed under: Uhagoniella meregallii
Lineage: Eukaryota; Metazoa; Arthropoda; Insecta; Coleoptera; Leiodidae
Description: partial 16S ribosomal RNA
Rfam family: Bacterial large subunit ribosomal RNA
Source: RNAcentral
GGCUUAUUGAAAAUAAUUUUAGGUCUGAUCUGCCCAAUGAAUUAUUAAAUGGCUGCAGUAUUUUAACUGUACAAAGGUAGCAUAAUAAUUAGUUUCUUAAUUAGGAACUGGAAUGAAUGAUUGAACGAGAUAAUAACUGUCUUAAUAUAAAUUUUAGAAUUUUAUUUUUAAGUUAAAAAGCUUAAAUAUAUUUAAAAGACGAGAAGACCCUAUAGAAUUUUAUAUAAUUAUUUUAUUUGAAUUUUAGUAGUUAAAGUUUAAAUUUUAAUAAUAGUAUUUGGUUGGGGUGAUUGAAAAAUUUAUUUAACUUUUUUUUUAGUGGGACAUAAUUAUAUGAGUGUAUGAUCCAGAGAGUGUUGAUUAUAAGAUUAAAUUACCUUAGGGAUAACAGCGUAAUUUUUUUGGAGAGUUCUUAUCGAUAAAAGAGAUUGCGACCUCGAUGUUGGAUUAAAGUUAAUUUUUGAAGCAGAAAUUAAAAAAUUAGGUCUGUUCGACCUUUGAAACUUUACAUGAUCUGAGUUUAAAUCGGCGUGAGCCAGGUUGGAUUCUAUCUUUAAAAUUUGUUAGUAUUAUAGUACGAAAGGACCUGGUAUUAGUUAAAUUAAUUUAAUUUGAGUAUUA